This 253-nucleotide ribosomal RNA is filed under the name uncultured bacterium. Its description in RNAcentral is "partial 16S ribosomal RNA". It matches the Rfam family "Bacterial small subunit ribosomal RNA", at positions 524 to 776 of the family's 1533-position model. The record is from RNAcentral.
UACGAAGGUGGCAAGCGUUACUCGGAAUUACUAGGCGUAAAGGGCAGGUAGGUGGUUCGAUAAGUCUGUUGUGAAAUCUCCCGGCUUAACUGGGAGAGGUCAACAGAUACUGUCGGACUUGAGUAUAGGAGAGGGUACUGGAAUUCCCGGUGUAGCGGUGAAAUGCGCAGAGAUCGGGAGGAACACCAAUGGCGAAAGCAGGUACCUGGACUAUUACUGACACUCAACUGCGAAAGCUAGGGGAGCAAACAGG